ACAGACGUCAUUUUAUUACAUCGAAGAUCCAAAGUUCAAUUUAUUACAACUCUCUCAACUGAAGGCUGAGUUACAUAGCGGAAGCAAAUAACAUAAUAAUAAUCCUGAGUGCAUCAAUCGCCACAAGGCUAGUUGAGUGUAGCUCCGUAGCCCUAUCUCGUCACUCAUCAUCUGCACAUGACACGUACAGGUAAGUACUUUGAAUGUACUCGCAAGUUGCAACGAAGAUGAUAACAAAUAGUCAUGCUGGACAGGGUGUCUAGGGUUUAUUUGCAGAAAGCCAAUAUUUCCCUAGACUAUAAAGAAAAGAAAAGAUAUUAAGUUUUGAUAAACAUUUUUUGUUUAAAACAUAGAGUUUUAGUGAAUACUUGGAUAUCCGGACCAAGGUUCACUAAAAAUAUUUUUUUUACAGGUUGAAGUAAAACACCCCGCUAUGUUUAACUUCCACCUAACCCUUUUUUUAAAUAGAUUUGAGAAAAGAGAGGGGAGAUUCUUCUUCAGUCCAAGUCUUCAGUUGCUCAAAAUUGCCCGUAACCGGGGGCACGGCUAAUCGAUUAGGUUAAACCCUCUGCAGAGGUCGUACACGUUCCCCACAUGACACAACCAACCCCGCUUACCGUUACACACUUGGGUGUACGACUAGGAGGAGAUUGUGACGAAGCCUUUCCGUAACAGCCCCCUAUACCUGACGAAGCCGCCCGCAACUUAGGCAAUGAAAGCCCCUCUCCGAUGGAGGUCCUGAGGUAAGGGUUUCCCGUUAGUACUAAGUUAAGCCAGAUCCCAUAGUAGCAUGUGGCUGUACUGGAAGCUACAUCAAACUGUUCUUGUAAGAUCUCAUUCCCCUGGACGGCAGUCCCCACCAAAAACCUGUGUGCAAGACCCCAGUCGGGCGCAUUCACUGCGAGACCCCGCUGGGCGCAAUCACUUGUAGACGCUCCCGUCAUACCAUUCCGCCCAGGGAGUAGAAGUUGAAACUAAUAUAGUUUUGCUUUCCAAUUUUUUUUCUAAAUCAUUGUUCCAAGGGAACAAGUUUGUAUUUUCAAAAUAUUUGGUCCACCCCAACUACAAGCAUGGCUAAGCGUAUAGUCCAAUAGCAAUGGUUUUUAGGGCUUUACUUCUAGUAAAAUAUUUGCAUAAUAGAAACAUAAAACCAACACAUGCAUGCUAAUUGAUUUAAAAAAAUGCAAGAUAAAAACAUGGGAUAAAUAUGGUCAAGGUUGCAACUUGCCUUCUGACUCGCAGCAACACGGUCCUACCUCCUCGUAGAAUUCGGCUUCGCACUCGUCGCAAUC
Molecule: long non-coding RNA, 1292 nt
Filed under: Triticum aestivum (bread wheat)
Lineage: Eukaryota; Viridiplantae; Streptophyta; Magnoliopsida; Poales; Poaceae
Description: long non-coding RNA (TAES_LNC018017)
Source: RNAcentral